RNAcentral lists this long non-coding RNA (4103 nucleotides) under Homo sapiens (human). RNAcentral describes it as "HSALNT0108313". The record is from RNAcentral. Lineage: Eukaryota; Metazoa; Chordata; Mammalia; Primates; Hominidae.
CCCUCCUCUCUCCCUCCUCUCCCUCCUCCCUCUCUCUCUCUCUCUCUCUCGUUUUUCUCUUCCUUUCUCUUUCUCUCUCACCCUCUCUGUGCAACUCUCUUGGUCAUUCUCCUCUCUCUGUGCAACUCUUUCCUAUCCAGUAUUUUGCUCUGCAAAUUCCAUCCACCUUUGCCUCUGAAUUCUCAACUCCGUCUCCUCAGCGCAGGAAGACCUUCAGACUCCCAGCACGGUGGCCAGGAAACACUCUGCAAGCAAAAGCUAAAACCUGGAAAUGGGAGGCGGGUUCAAUCUUAUCAGCUGUAAUGAACUACCCAGACUCCCUUGAAGAUAAGUCAUUUCAUUAAGAAAACAGCAGCAAACCCCAAUAGAAGGGCAUCUUAUGAUAUACCUGACCCGUACUCCUCAAAACUCUCAAAGACAAGGAAAGCCUGAGAAAUUAACAGUCAAGAAGAGCCUAAGGAUACAGGAUCACUAAAUGUAAUAUGGUAUGCUGUAUGGGAUUCUGGAGGAGAAAAAUCACAUUAGGUAAAUGGUGAGGAAAUCUGAAUAAAGUAUGAAUUUUAGUUAAUAAUGUAUCAUUGUUAAUAAUUAAUUGUAACAAAUGUACCACACUAAUGUAAGCUGUUAAUAAUAGGUAAAAUGGGGUUUGGGGGAGAUGGGAACUCUGCACUAUCUUUGCAAUUUUUCUGCAAAUCUAAAACUGUUCUAAAAUAAAAAGGGUGCUUUAAAAUAUGCAUUGCAGAAUCAAGAAAAUACAGUGUAUAAAGCACUCAUUGGGGAUAACAAAUACUGCCCUCCCAUCUUCCAUCAGAAGAAAAACACUGGGAAUGUGAUAUUGAUUUGUGUAUUUGCACCUAACGGAUCCUUAAUGAAUUUGCCAAGGAUAAUUAAUAAAUAUGCCAGUUCAUGUUGUGAGCUUAAGUGAAAAAUAUAGUUCUUAUAUUCCUUGAGCAAAUUCAUUUUUCAAAGCAUCAUGCUAGGCACUUAAUUAUUGAAUGAUCACAUCAAGCCCAUGGGGAUUACGCCUUUAAAAAAAUAAAAAAAACUAGGAUCUAAGCUGUUAAGAAAUGUUUGCUAGGGCUGCCAUAAAAAAGUACCGCAGACUGGGUGGGUUAUUUUCUCACAGUUCUAAAGUUCAGAAGUCUGAGAUCAAGGUGUUGGCAGGGUUUAUUUCUUCUGGGGCCUUCCUCGGGUUUUCAGUUGGCUGUCCUAAUUUCCUCUUCUUGAAAGGACACUAGUCAGAUUAGGGCCCACAUGAAUAAUUUCAUUUUAACUUAAUUACCUUUUUAAAGACUGUAUCUCCACAGUCACAUUCUGAAGUACUAUGAGUUAGGAUGUCAAAUUAUGCAUUUUGUUGGGGGACACAAUUUAGCCCAUAACAAUGUCCACAUUGAUCUCUUUGACUACUACCCUCACCCCAGUGAUGGAGGUAUGAUUCUAAUCGAGAUCUUUAGUACUCCAAAGCUGGUGCUCAUUUCUUUAUAGUAUCAUAGUGGUCACCAGCCAUGGUUUAUUUAUGUCUUCUAGAAUACUUCAGCCACAGGAGAAGCUAAAUUUGUCCAGCUUUGUUUUAUCUUUUUUUUUCUUUUACAUGAUAUUCCAUAGUAAACAUUUUACUUAAAAGUGGGAACUAGUGCUAUAGUGAUAUAGUAGAUUCCAAGACAGACCUAUAUUUAGACACUGUUCUGCUACUCUAUACUGUGCUCUGUUUCUCCCAAGAUUUUUAGUGAGCAUUAAAUGAGAUACAGAUAAACACUUGGCUUGAAACAAAAGAUGAUCAGCAUUUCCCUUAUUAAGAGAAAAUAGUAUUAUAGAAAAUCUACCUCUCAAGUCAGUACAGUAAAUACAUGAGGAGUUCAGUGAAAUGUUCUUUAAGAAUUUGGAAGUGAAAGAAAUAUGAUUGCCUUUUGAGAGUUAAACUUUAAAAUCAUCACAUAAUGGAUAAAAACAGUCUCUUCUAGCAGCAGGAGUUGAUGUAAUAUGACUGGAGCUAUUAAUACAGCUAACGGAAGGAUGUGUCACUCCAAGGUAGGGGGUUGGACAGCCCAUGGGAGCUUAGGAAAAGGAGUCACAGAGACAAAUAUUAGCAGAACCCAUCUGGGUACUUUUGGGAAACAGGAAAUUUGAGCCAGUAGAUUUUUUUAAAUAUUAAGUUCCCAUUGCCAAGUUUCCAACUGUGUGAUUAAUACUUUAGCCUGUUUUAGUCUUAAACCAUAAAACAUUCACACAUUCCAAUGAGCUUCUUGUACUUGAAAACCAAUUGUACCUGAUCUCAGUAUGAUAUAGAUGUGCUUACAGAGAUUGUGUGGGUCUAUCAUGCUAACCUGGGUAUUUAGCAACCUGUUGUUUUUUUACUGUAAUUAAAUAGAACUUUAUGUAUUUGGUUAAUGUGACUGAGCAAUAGAUCCAUUAUUUGUGUACUUAGAAAGUCUGGUUUCUGCCUCUGAAUGACUAUGAACCCAAUUCUUCCAUAUUUUGACUUUAACCUAUAAGGGCUAAGAUUUAGGGUUAUUAGAUUUAGCAAAUAAGGAUAUAGAAAAACCAGUUAAAUUUGAGUUUCAGAUAAACAAUGGAUUUUUUUUUUCAGUAUAAGUAUGUUUCAGACAAAAUUUGGGAUAUGCUUGUGUAAAAAGUGUUGAAUGUUCAUUUGAAAUUCAAAUCUAACUGGCCAUUCUGUACUUUACCUGACAACUAUAGAGAGACCUCUUUUAAUACAGCUGCUAGUAUUAAUAUACUUAAAGCCCUUAGCACAGACUCAUACAUAAACACUAUAAAUGGUAACACAUUUCCUGUCUUAUGUAAACAAAGUUAUAGUAUAUGAAAAGUAAUCACCUUUGUUGACACCUAUUAACUAAAUAGAAGGCCCAUAAUCCUGUGCCCUUUUACUCUUCACAACGGAGACCUCAAAGGUCGGUUAUUGACUCUUCUGUUUAAGCAAGAUCAUGUUGCUUGUAUUUUGACCAUGAAGUUUCCAAAUAAUAAAAUAUUUAUGAAAUGGCCAAAAACUUUUGCUUCCCCUCUAAACCUGAGUGAUUAUAAAAUAGUCUAAACUCUUCCCUUCAACAUUCCUUCCUGCUGGCUGGGACGGACUUAUGGUGCACCUUAACCCAAGUGUCCCAGGGUUUAAAAAGUGCUUCUUUUCAACAGAGCCAUACUACUUCUAAUCACUUUCUAUUAGCACAGGGGGCGUGGCAUGAACAUGUAACUGACAUGAACUGCUCUAAAACUUGUGUAGGCAAUUUUCCUUCAAGGUAAAUGAAUGUCAGUGUAGGAGAGGAUAAACAUCUUUCCUUCAUCUAUCCUAGGUUCAUAGCUGAGGCCCCUAUAACAAAAGACAGAUUGGCAAAAGAAUAGCAUACCGAUUUAUUUAAUUUGUAUAUAAUAUACAAAUUUGUAUGUGAUACAGGAGCCUUCAUAAGGAAAUAAAGACUCAAAGCAACAGUUAAACAUGACUGUAUUUUAUUGAAGGUUUGAAGAGUGGACCACCGUGGAGAAAUAAGAUGGAAUAAAGGGGAUAUAAUCUAAUGGAAACUAGGGGAAAUUUAGAAAAGCCUGUUUGUUCAGAUUCCUCUCUGUGUCCUUUCAUCUUCAAAGAUAAGGAUGGUCCUUUCCUCUGGAUAUAGGGAGAGCAUUUCUCACAAGAGGGUCUUAUGACUUGCUUUAGGGGAAGGUCAGAAAAACCUUCCUAGGUGUUACGACCUGUUUUACAAGAAGAGGGUAGAGGAAGAUGAGAAUGAACUUUCUACCUUGUGGUUUUCUCAAAUUCCUCAGCUUCAGCUAUUUUAGGGUAGCAAGCCCUGGACCUCAUCAUUGGAAGAGUGAGUAAGGCUUGGCACAAAGAAGCAGCUAUAAUCUAGGCUAUCCAAAGCCCUAAGAGACUUCUAAAAUAAAAUAAGAAAAUCUUGAUGAGUAAUUCAAUAUUCCCUUUUUCCACAUUUGUCUGCUACACCAGAAAUUUUCGUAAGAUUAAAAGCUGUUAACUAAUCUUUUCAAUUACUUGGUUUAUUAAGCUAUCCAGGCAGCAACUUUCUCUAGAUAAUUUGUGUCAAGCUAAUCAAUACAUUCUUCCAUUUGUUUUUCCUUCUUUUGCAUUGUUCUUUAAG